UUGCUAGAGCAAGCUUGUGACCCCAUAAAUCAUUCUUUGCAUGUGAUACAUUCAGUUUAUUUGUUCCUUAGACCCUAAAAGAGUGAGAACAGUUCCUUAGAAAUCAGAAUUAAGUUGAUCUGCAAUAGUAGUAACAACAUGUAGUGAUGUAACGUAAGUCAGUGUCAGAACUGUAUCUUGUGACCCUUGAUAAGACGGUCAAUAGGAACACACCCUGGCCCCUGGGGGGACAAAAACUCUUGAU
Molecule: long non-coding RNA, 244 nt
Filed under: Elaeis guineensis (African oil palm)
Lineage: Eukaryota; Viridiplantae; Streptophyta; Magnoliopsida; Arecales; Arecaceae
Description: long non-coding RNA (EGUI_LNC003050)
Source: RNAcentral